GGACUACCGGGGUAUCUAAUCCUGUUUGAUCCCCACGCUGUCGCGCCUGAGCGUCAGUUACGAGCCAGUGAGCCGCCUUCGCCACUGGUGUUCUUCCCAAUAUCUACGAAUUUCACCUCUACACUGGGAAUUCCACUCACCUCUCUCGUACUCAAGUCUUGCAGUUUCAAUGGCAGUUCUGGAGUUGAGCUCCAGGCUUUCACCACUGACUUGAAAGACCGCCUGCGCGCGCUUUACGCCCAGUAAUUCCGAACAACGCUAGCCCCCUUCGUAUUACCGCGGCUGCUGGCAC
Molecule: ribosomal RNA, 292 nt
Filed under: uncultured bacterium
Lineage: Bacteria
Description: partial 16S ribosomal RNA
Source: RNAcentral